AUGACUAUGAUGACCCCUUCCCCUCUCGAGCAGCAGGAGGACGAUGAGAUGCUGGUGCCACACCAGGAGCUCUCCGCCGCAGAUGCCGCGCAGCCAAUGGAAGUGGUGGCGCAGACGGAGCCUACGAACACGGCGGAGAGCCAAGCACCCGAGGACCCGCAGACUUCCCGGUUCACCUGGACGAUAGAGAACUUCACCAGGGUCAGCGGGAAGAAGCACUACUCGGAUGUGUUUGUCGUUGGUGGAUUUAAAUGGCGUGUGCUAAUUUUCCCCAAGGGAAAUAACGUGGACCAUCUCUCGAUGUACUUGGAUGUUGCAGACUCGGGGAACCUCCCUUACGGAUGGAGCCGGUAUGCUCAGUUCAGCCUAGCCGUUGUAAACCAGAUCCAUCAGAAGUAUACAGCACGCAAAGGCUAUAUGUUGGUCCCAUGUUUGGCAGAUACUCAACAUCAGUUUAAUGCACGUGAAAGUGACUGGGGUUUCACAUCUUUUAUGCCUCUGAGUGAGCUCUAUGAUCCAAGUAGGGGCUAUCUCGUGAAUGAUACUGUUGUUGUUGAAGCUGAGGUUGCUGUUCGCAAAAUGGUUGACUAUUGGACUUAUGACUCGAAAAAGGAAACAGGUUAUGUUGGUCUCAAGAAUCAGGGUGCUACCUGUUAUAUGAACUCUCUUCUGCAAACCCUGUAUCAUAUACCUUACUUUCGGAAGGCUGUAUAUCACAUGCCAACUACUGAGAAUGACAUGCCAUCUGGGAGUAUUCCUUUAGCCCUGCAGAGCCUUUUUUACAAGCUCCAGUAUAGCGACAAUAGUGUAGCUACAAAAGAGUUGACUAAAUCUUUCGGGUGGGACACCUAUGAUUCUUUCAUGCAGCAUGAUGUGCAAGAGCUCAAUAGAGUUCUAUGCGAGAAACUUGAAGACAAAAUGAAGGGAACUGUUGUGGAAGGAACAAUUGAACAACUAUUUGAAGGCCACCACAUUAAUUACAUCGAGUGCAUUAAUGUUGACUAUAAAUCUAACAGAAAAGAGUCCUUUUAUGAUCUACAACUUGAUGUCAAAGGUUGUCGUGAUGUUUAUGCAUCAUUUGAUAAAUAUGUCGAAGUGGAGCGUCUAGAGGGUGAUAACAAAUACCAGGCUGAACAACAUGGCUUACAGGAUGCAAGAAAGGGCGUACUCUUUCUUGAUUUCCCUCCUGUUUUGCAACUUCAACUGAAGCGUUUCGAAUAUGAUUACAUGCGAGACACAAUGGUUAAGAUUAAUGACCGUUAUGAGUUCCCACUACAACUCGAUCUUGAUAAGGAUGAUGGAAAAUAUCUUACUCCAGAUGCAGAUAGAAGUAUUAGGAACCUUUACACUCUUCACAGUGUUCUUGUUCAUAGUGGAGGAGUACAUGGUGGUCACUACUACGCUUUCAUACGACCUACACUCUCAGACCAGUGGUAUAAAUUUGAUGAUGAGCGAGUAACAAAAGAAGAUACUAAAAAAGCGCUUGAAGAGCAGUACGGGGGCGAGGAAGAGUUGCCUCAAGUUAACCCUGGUUUCAAUAACACCCCAUUUAAGUUCACAAAGUAUUCAAAUGCCUACAUGCUUGUAUAUAUUCGUGAGAGUGACAAGGAGAAAAUAAUGUGUAAUGUUGAUGAGAAGGACAUUGCUGAGCAUUUGAGGAUAAGGUUGAAGAAAGAACAAGAAGAGAAAGAACACAAGAAAAAGGAAAAAGCUGAAGCUCACCUCUACACCAUCAUAAAGGUUGCUCGAGAUGAAGAUUUGAAGGAGCAGAUUGGGAAGAAUAUAUAUUUUGAUCUGGUGGACCAUGAAAAAGUCCGUAAUUUUCGUAUACAGAAACAAUUACCCUUUAAUUCAUUCAAGGAGGAAGUUGCGAAGGAAUACGGCAUUCCGGUACAGUCUCAGCGCUUCUGGUUGUGGGCUAAGAGGCAAAAUCAUACAUACCGGCCCAAUCGUCCGCUGGCCCCUCAUGAAGAAGCACAAUCAGUGGGGCAACUUAGGGAGGUAUCAAACAAGGCACACAAUGCUGAGCUGAAGCUAUUUCUUGAAGUAGAGCUAGGAUUGGAUUUGCGCCCAAUUCGUCCUCCCGAGAAGAGCAAGGAAGAUAUUUUACUUUUCUUCAAGCUUUAUAAUCCUGAAAAGGAAGAGCUUCGUUUUGUUGGUAGGCUUUUUGUUAAGGCUUUGGGAAAGCCAUCUGAUAUCCUGACAAAACUUAAUGAAAUGGCUGGAUUUUCCCCAAAUGAAGAAAUCGAACUUUAUGAGGAAAUUAAGUUUGAGCCUAAUGUGAUGUGUGAACAUAUUGACAAGAAACUUAGUUUCCGAUCUAGUCAGCUUGAAGAUGGGGACAUAAUCAGUUUCCAAAAGCCAUCUAUACCAGGUGGCGAUACUCAAGUGCGCUAUAAAGAUGUUCCUUCUUUCUUGGAGUAUGUUCAUAAUAGGCAGGUUGUGCACUUCCGGUGUCUGGAGAAACCAAAGGAGGAGGAAUUUUGUUUGGAAUUGUCGAAGCUUCAUACUUAUGAUGAUGUUGUUGAGAGAGUUGCACGCCAACUUGGAUUGGAUGAUCCAUCAAAAGUUCGGCUUACGUCUCACAAUUGCUAUUCUCAGCAACCUAAACCACAGCCCAUCAGAUAUCGUGGAGUAGAGCAUCUAUUGGAUAUGCUUGUCCAUUAUAAUCAGACUUCUGACAUACUGUAUUAUGAAGUCUUGGACAUUCCACUGCCAGAAUUGCAGUGUUUAAAAACACUUAAAGUUGCAUUUCACCAUGCAACGAAAGAUGAGGUUGUAAUUCACAGCAUCAGGCUUUCGAAAAAUAGCACCAUCAGUGAUGUGAUCACUGACUUGAAGACCAAGGUUGAACUAUCCAAUCCUGAUGCUGAGCUCCGCUUGCUUGAAGUUUUCUACCACAAGAUUUAUAAGAUAUUUCCACCUCAUGAGAAGAUAGAGAACAUAAAUGAUCAGUACUGGACACUACGUGCUGAGGAGAUUCCAGAGGAGGAGAAGAAUCUCACUGCACAGGAUCGGUUGAUUCACGUCUAUCAUUUCAUGAAAGAUCCUAAUCAGAACCAGCAGAUUCAGAAUUUUGGAGAUCCCUUUUUGCUGGUCAUCCGUGAAGGUGAGACUGCUGCAGAGGUAAUGGACCGUGUGCAGAAAAAACUCCGAGUUCCCAAUGAAGAAUUCGCCAAGUGGAAGGUUGCAUUCAUAUCCAUGAAUCGUCCAGAAUACCUCCAGGAUAUUGAUGCUGUGUCUGCACGCUUUCAGAGGAGAGAUGUCUAUGGAGCUUGGGAACAAUACCUUGGCUUGGAGCAUACUGACACAACACCCAAAAGGUCUUACACAGCUAAUCAGAAUCGACACACAUAUGAGAAGCCUGUGAAGAUUUACAAUUGA
Molecule: ribosomal RNA, 3384 nt
Filed under: Triticum aestivum (bread wheat)
Lineage: Eukaryota; Viridiplantae; Streptophyta; Magnoliopsida; Poales; Poaceae
Description: partial small subunit ribosomal RNA
Source: RNAcentral